Molecule: non-coding RNA, 210 nt
Organism: Tolypothrix campylonemoides VB511288
Lineage: Bacteria; Bacillati; Cyanobacteriota; Cyanophyceae; Nostocales; Tolypothrichaceae
Source: Rfam
GUUAAGUGCCAACCCCAUGCCUAAAGGCAAGGGGCUUGGUGGUUGACUCCACCUGACCAGACUAUUCGUUUAGGGCAAGAGUUAAAGACCUACUCCGGGAUGCUUGCUAGUCCCGCGACCCUAGAACCGAACGAUUAAACAGGUUUACAGAGAAUAAGCCAGUGUCGUUUGGAUAGUACCGACCCUAAACAUUGUCGAAGCAAACUUUAC